GCUCUCAGAACUUAGCUGAUGAAAUCAUUCUCUCAUCGCUCCCAGAAUCACAGAGAAAUUAUCUACAGCUGCAGAUUUUCUUGUGCAUAUCAUG
Molecule: long non-coding RNA, 94 nt
Organism: Thalassophryne amazonica
Lineage: Eukaryota; Metazoa; Chordata; Actinopteri; Batrachoidiformes; Batrachoididae
Exons: 3
Source: RefSeq, a predicted model, not a curated record